This 210-nucleotide ribosomal RNA is filed under the name uncultured bacterium. Its description in RNAcentral is "partial 16S ribosomal RNA". It matches the Rfam family "Bacterial small subunit ribosomal RNA", at positions 1284 to 1500 of the family's 1533-position model. The record is from RNAcentral.
UGUCUCAGUUCGGAUUGGAGUCUGCAACCCGACUCCAUGAAGCUGGAUUCGCUAGUAAUCGCGCAUCAGCCACGGCGCGGUGAAUACGUUCCCGGGCCUUGUACACACCGCCCGUCAAGCCAUGGAAGCCGGGAGUGCCUGAAGUGUGCAACCNCAAGGAGCGCCCUAAGGUAAAAACCGGUGACUGGGGCUAAGUCGUAACAAGGUACC